Molecule: long non-coding RNA, 1061 nt
Filed under: Homo sapiens (human)
Lineage: Eukaryota; Metazoa; Chordata; Mammalia; Primates; Hominidae
Description: HSALNT0097813
Source: RNAcentral
UAGGGCAUUGUAGCUGGGUGAAGGGUACUGCUUCUUGGCUCUGUGCCCAUGCUCUGGCCACUCCCCCUCCCUGCCUGAGGGUAACAGGGAAAUGGGAGGGCCUUUGGGCUGGGGACAACCCUGCUGCUUGCACUCUGCAUAGAGAAAGCAUGAGGAGAACAGAGGAAGAGAGAGCAGGAAAGAAACAGAAGAUGCAGGCUGAUGGUUCAGAAGAUCGGGCAGGAAGCAGCCUCAAUGAGGGUCUAUCACAGCCUACAGACAGCACAGAAACCAUCCCAACACAGCUGCCCUGCAAGCUGGCAUCUACCCCAGGAUACAGCCUGCCCGAGGGCUCAAAACCCCAGGAUUGCAGUUUCCCUUCUGUCUGGGCCCUCAGGUGAGCUGGACCAGGUCUCUUUGCUACCAGACUGUGAGAAUGGUUUCCACCUGGGGACCCAGAGCACUACCAGCAUCCAGCACAGGUGUACAACAGACAUUUGUGGGAUGAAUGAACACAGGAUAAAUGAAGACUUCUAGAAACCCUUCCUCCUCUACACAAGGCUCCAGGCAUCCUUAUAAAUUUAUAAUCUUAUAAAUUAAAGAUGACUCCUUCUUGACUAUAAGUAGAAAGAAGGCUUCAGUUAAGUGAAGAUCCAGUUAAGUCAGGUUUACUCUGUCCAAGAAGCUCAACUUUUGCCACCCAGUUUUAACACCUGAUGGUGGCACAGUUGCACCACAUACAAUUUUCAGGACUCUGAUGAAUGCGCUGGGCGUUUCUGCACUAACCCUCCUAACCAGUGUGCCAAUGGGAUUUGGCAAAACUAUGAGCAGUGACAGAAUGACAGAACCAAGGAAUCAUGAGAUUUGCUAUAAGCAAGACAGAGAGCCAGGAAAUGAGGAGGGGAGAGCGCUCUGGGCUGUGACUCUGGGUUGGCUGGAGCACACCCCGGAGUGGCACAGGGCUCAGGGCUGGCACUUCCUCCAAGACUUGCUCUGGGGCCAGGUCCAAGACUACAAUCUCCUUGCUGUUUUUCCAUGGCAGUAGCUUAGACUGUAGUUCUCUGCCAUGAAGUGGUUCAGAG